GGCCUCGUAGCUCAACUGGUAGAGCGUCUGCGUACAAAGCGUAGGCGGCGUCCAUGCGUGGGUCCGAAUCCCACUGAGUCUA
RNAcentral lists this transfer RNA (82 nucleotides) under Echinostoma caproni. It matches the Rfam family "tRNA". Rfam says of the family: Transfer RNA (tRNA) molecules are approximately 80 nucleotides in length. Lineage: Eukaryota; Metazoa; Platyhelminthes; Trematoda; Plagiorchiida; Echinostomatidae. The record is from Rfam by way of RNAcentral.